UGUUUAAGGACUAACUGACAAAUCCUCCUUUAUCGAGUCUAAAUAGUCCUAAGGACUUCACCAUAACACAGGAGUUCAUUAGAAGAUGAAACAUUUGUGAUGAAAAAAUACCAAAAUAACUUUUAUUUAUUUAUAAUUCAUGUACUAAUACAAAAGGAGCACAACCGUCAACAGGCUGACGAUUGGCUUUGGGACACUAUUCCCAACAA
RNAcentral lists this long non-coding RNA (209 nucleotides) under Elaeis guineensis (African oil palm). RNAcentral describes it as "long non-coding RNA (EGUI_LNC060886)". Lineage: Eukaryota; Viridiplantae; Streptophyta; Magnoliopsida; Arecales; Arecaceae. The record is from RNAcentral.